GGGACACGUGGUAUCCUGUCUGAAUAUGGGGGGACCAUCCUCCAAGGCUAAAUACUCCUGACUGACCGAUAGUGAACCAGUACCGUGAGGGAAAGGCGAAAAGAACCCCGGCGAGGGGAGUGAAAAAGAACCUGAAACCGUGUACGUACAAGCAGUGGGAGCACGCUUAGGCGUGUGACUGCGUACCUUUUGUAUAAUGGGUCAGCGACUUAUAUUCUGUAGCAAGGUUAACCGAAUAGGGGAGCCGAAGGGAAACCGAGUCUUAACUGGGCGUUAAGUUGCAGGGUAUAGACCCGAAACCCGGUGAUCUAGCCAUGGGCAGGUUGAAGGUUGGGUAACACUAACUGGAGGACCGAACCGACUAAUGUUGAAAAAUUAGCGGAUGACUUGUGGCUGGGGGUGAAAGGCCAAUCAAACCGGGAGAUAGCUGGUUCUCCCCGAAAGCUAUUUAGGUAGCGCCUCGUGAAUUCAUCUCCGGGGGUAGAGCACUGUUUCGGCAAGGGGGUCAUCCCGACUUACCA
Molecule: ribosomal RNA, 521 nt
Filed under: Escherichia coli
Lineage: Bacteria; Pseudomonadati; Pseudomonadota; Gammaproteobacteria; Enterobacterales; Enterobacteriaceae
Description: partial 23S ribosomal RNA
Rfam family: Bacterial large subunit ribosomal RNA
Source: RNAcentral